Molecule: ribosomal RNA, 253 nt
Filed under: uncultured bacterium
Lineage: Bacteria
Description: partial 16S ribosomal RNA
Rfam family: Bacterial small subunit ribosomal RNA
Source: RNAcentral
UACGAAGGGUGCAAACGUUGCUCGGAAUUAUUGGGCGUAAAGCGCACGUAGGCGGCUUGGCAAGUCGGAUGUGAAAUCCCUCGGCUCAACCAAGGAAGUGCAUCCGAAACUGCCGAGCUUGAGUACUUAAGAGGAUCGCGGAAUUCCCGGUGUAGAGGUGAAAUUCGUAGAUAUCGGGAGGAACACCAGUGGCGAAGGCGGCUCACUGGCUCGACACUGACGCUGAGGUGCGAAAGCGUGGGGAGCAAACAGG